RNAcentral lists this ribosomal RNA (231 nucleotides) under uncultured bacterium. RNAcentral's name for it is "partial 16S ribosomal RNA". It matches the Rfam family "Bacterial small subunit ribosomal RNA", at positions 524 to 753 of the family's 1533-position model. The record is from RNAcentral.
UACAGAGGUCUCAAGCGUUUGUUCGGAUUCAUUGGGCGUAAAGGGUGCGUAGGUGGCUUGGUAAGUUUGAUGUGAAAUCUCCGGGCUUAACCCGGAAAUGGCAUUGAAUACUAUUGAGCUGGAGGUUUGGAGGGGGGACUGGAAUUCUCGGUGUAGCAGUGAAAUGCGUAGAUAUCGAGAGGAACACCAGUGGCGAAGGCGAGUCCCUGGACAACACCUGACACUGAAGCA